ACGAACGCUGGCGGCGUGCUCAACACAUGCAAGUCGAGCGGAAAGGCCCUUCGGGGUACUCGAGCGGCGAACGGGUGAGUAACACGUGAGUAACCUGCCCUAGGCUUUGGGAUAACCCCGGGAAACCGGGGCUAAUACCGGAUAUGACCUGGUGCCGCAUGGUGUUGGGUGGAAAGUUUUUUCGGCCUGGGAUGGGCUCGCGGCCUAUCAGCUUGUUGGUGGGGUGAUGGCCUACCAAGGCGAUGACGGGUAGCCGGCCUGAGAGGGCGACCGGCCACACUGGGACUGAGACACGGCCCAGACUCCUACGGGAGGCAGCAGUGGGGAAUAUUGCACAAUGGGCGGAAGCCUGAUGCAGCGACGCCGUGUGAGGGAUGAAGGCCUUCGGGUUGUAAACCUCUUUCAGCAGGGACGAAGCGUGAGUGACGGUACCUGCAGAAGAAGCGCCGGCCAACUACGUG
This 461-nucleotide ribosomal RNA is filed under the name uncultured bacterium. RNAcentral's name for it is "partial 16S ribosomal RNA". It matches the Rfam family "Bacterial small subunit ribosomal RNA", at positions 29 to 507 of the family's 1533-position model. The record is from RNAcentral.